RNAcentral lists this long non-coding RNA (5141 nucleotides) under Capsella rubella. RNAcentral describes it as "long non-coding RNA (CRUB_LNC002755)". Lineage: Eukaryota; Viridiplantae; Streptophyta; Magnoliopsida; Brassicales; Brassicaceae. The record is from RNAcentral.
GUCGUGGAGAAUAGUUGAAAGUUUCGUACCACAUUCGUCUUUAUCUAAUGGAAUAUGCAUCAAUGGGUUUAUGUAUUACUUAGCUGCGCGCAAAGACGCUAGAUCACGUCUUAAACCUAUUAUGCUAGUUUGUUUUGAUAUUACGUUAGAGAAGUUCACCUUUCUUGAUGCGGACAUUAUGAUUUGGAGGUAAACUCUUAUAGAUGCCAAAGGUAAGUUAGGCGCAGUUCACCCUUGUGAGACUAUUUUUUUCAGUGAAGCUACAAGCUUUGAGCUGUGGAUUCUAGAUGAUAUGGAGAAUGAGAAAUGGUCGAAGCAUGUCUACCAGUUGCCGUCUUCCUGGAAGAAUCUGGUUGGGAAACUUCAGGUGAUAAAUGUUGUAGGGAUGACUGGUGCAGGCGAUAUCGUGCUCGCCCCAGAGUAUUUGGAUAAUGAUCCUUUCUUCAUUGUGUAUUACAAUGUGGUGAAAAACACAGUCGGAAAGGCUAUAGUCCAGUUAGGAGUUGUUAUUCGUGAUGGUCAUCUGAUGAAUGUUCAGACUUUCAUGGACCAUGUAGAAGAUGUGAAGCUUUUGCAAGUGCUGGGCAGUUCUUAGGACUUUACAAUGAGCGUUGUUGUGCUUAUAUCAAUCCAUUCGUGUAAGCAACAUUUGUUCCUUUACUAUUGUAUGACUAUUAUUUAUAUAUGUGUACUGUAUUUUGGUUUAUUUAUGUCUUUGAGGAAACUCGAAACAUAAUCGAUAAUUGUUGUAAGCUGUUUCAUUAGAUAUUUUAAACUCUCUCUUUUUUAUCAUGAGCAAAAUUAACUCACUUUGUAUCUUUGUGUUAUCCAUCCAAAGAUAUGUUGAGAAAAUAAUCCAUCCAUUUGUAAAACCGUUGAAGAACUUGGUAAACCUACGAGUAACAAAGAUGAUUCUAGUGAUCCACGAGCUCAUUGCAAUAUUUACAAUGGCAGUGAAGAAGAAGAAAAGGCACGACAAUACUUCUAUUCUUGGAACUAGGAAGGAUCUCUCUGGAAUAUAGAAUGCAUUACUUUUAAUUAAAGAUGUAAUAAAUAAAUAAAGUUGCUUGUUUACAUGUCUUUGGUGUUGUUCUAGAGAAGGUAUGAUUACAUGUAGCUAGCCUAGAUGUGUCGGUGUUAGACUAUAAAUACAGAAGCAAAAUCACUAGAACAGAAUUAAAAUCUUGCGACUUGUGAGACAAGAUGGAAUCUAAAAAUUGAAAGAUACGUGAGUUAAACGUUCAAGCUCAUAAUUAAGCUUUUAGUAAAACAAAAUCUAAACCUUAAACCUGUAAUUUGUAAACACUGAAUUCUUAACCCAAACUGAUUGCCUAAGCCUAGUUGAAGAUUUAUAAUUAAAUAACAAAAAUCUUAAAUCUUAAAUUAAUACAUAUAUAAACAUUUUUUAAAAUUUCAAAUAUAUAAAUAAAAUAGAGAUAACUACAGAAUUGGGGGAAAAUGAAACUAAUAUACUUUAUGAAAAUAAAACUAAUUCAUAAUUUUGAUAUUACAAUUAAUAACAUUUUAAACAGACUACAAAUAAUUUACAUGCGGUAUAUCAUUUAAAAAGUAUAUAGACUAAUCGUAAGGAGUAAAAAUUUAUAUUUACAAAACCUUAAAUAUUAAUUGCAAAAGAAAUCAAUUACACGAAAUAUAGAGUACCACAUAAUGUAGGUUGUCUUUUGUUAAAAUAUUAGUCACAUGAUUUAAAAAGUUUUUUUUCUGAAUAUUUGGCCACAACUAACCGAUCCAUUAGCCAAAUUUCUAUAUUUAUAAAAGCAAAAAAACAAUUCUUGGUAUGGUGGUGCAUGUUCUUAAUGAACAUAUUAUUUCCUACUAGAUUAUUGGCCACUUCACGAAAAUUAAUUAAUUCAAAAAAUAUUUAAUUGUAAAGUUAUACCGAGCAUAGUCCAGAGUUUCCUCUAGUAAAAUAUAUAUAGGCCCAAAAUCAAUGGUAUGAUUGGGUAUAUAUAUAUCUCUGUAUAAAGUGUAUAUAUCUAUGUAUAAAAAAUUACUACCUAAUGAUGGAUAAUAAUCUAUAUAUAUAAUAAUAAAGGUGCUACAAAAGAAAUAUAUAGGUAAAAAAGAUUAGAUGAAAAAAGAGAUAAGAUAAAAACAAUGGUAGAAAUAGAAAAGAAUCCAAAAGGUGGCAGCUGUCGUGUAACUAGUGGAAUGUAAAAUCUUGGAAGACGAUAUAAAUCUUGGGUAUAUAUCUAUGUAUAAAUCUAUGUAUAAAGUGUACAUAUAUAUAUCUAUGUAUAAAUCUAUGUAUAAAGUGUACAUAUCUAUGUAUAAAAUUACUACCCAUUAUGGAUAAUAAUCUUUAUAUAUAAUAAUAAAGAUACUACAAAAGAAAUGUAUAGGAAAAAAAGAUUAGAUUACAAAAGAGAUAAGACCAAAACAAAUAGAAAUAGAAAAGAAUCCAAAAGGUGGCAGCUGUGUGUAAAUCUAGUGGACUGUAGUUAAGGGUUUUGUAAAAUCUUGGAAGACCAUAUAUAAACCAUAGGUGGCUGUUGUGUUUGUCUAUUGGUACAAGCUCAAAAGGGUUUCAAUGGCCGCCAAUAAAAAACUGAAGGAGCACCUCUCCAGUGAUGAGGCUCCCCUAACCAUAUCUUCAACGGAUGGGUUAGUAAAAAAGUCUCGUACGCAGCUGCCAACUGAUCUCAUAGUGGAAAUACUCUCCAGACUGCCUACCAAAUCCGUGGCGAGGUCUCGAUGUGUUUCCAACAACUGGAACUCUCUUCUUCGCGACCCAUAUUUCACCGAUGCAUUCAUGAAGAGGUCGUCUGCUCGCCCACGUCUCCUUUUAACAUUUCAAGAUGAGGGUACGUGGUAUUUCUUCUCUUCACCUGGGCACAACAUGAAUUCCAAUCUUUUAGUAGUUGAUAGUCAUAUGGAGGUCCCUAAACCUCUCGCCUGUCGAGUUUGUGUCCCUGUUUGUGGAUUGUUGUGUACAAGAGAUGAGUGGCGUUUAAGUGGUAGGAAGGAUGCAAGGAUGAGUAUAUGUAACCCUAGCACCGGACAAUUCCAAUCUCUACCCAAAGUGAGAACGUGGAGGUGUCAGGUCAUAACCUAUUUAGGUUUUGAUCCAAGCGAAAAACAAUAUAAGGUAUUGUGCAUGACAAUUUGUAGAAGGCCCUUUUUGUAUAAAGCGGAAUAGUAUCAAGUUCUCACGGUAGGAACGGGCAACCUACAAUGGAGAAUGCUUGAGUGUUCUGUAGACCACAUACCUCUUCGUAGGGAGAUUUGCAUCGAUGGGAUGCUAUAUUACUCAGCUAGAGAUACGGAGUAUAACAAUAUGUUAGUUUGCUUUAAUGUUAAGCAGGAGAAGUUCAACUUUAUCAAGAACAAUGAUUUUGGGUUUCCGACAACUUUGAUAAAUUACAAGGGUAAAUUAGGAGGAAUCCGUUGUAGCCCAACCACUUUCAUUGAUGGAACAGCUGAAAGCUUUGAGUUAUGGGUUAUAGAAGACACUGAAGAACAUAAAUUGUCAAAACUUGUUCACAUAUUGCCGCCUAGGUGGAAGGAGCUAGUUGCGGAGACUGAAGUUUGCAUUGUUGGGAUAAUUAAUGGAACCACUGAAGUUGUGUUUGCUCCGAACGUCUUGUCUGAUCCGUUCUACAUAUUUCACUUGGAUAUGGAGAGGAACUCUAUCAAAAAAGUUCAAAUUCAAGGGCUUGGCCCUGUUAGAGGUCAAAGCAUUUACACCUUCUUAAACCAUGUCGAGAAUGUGAAUCUUAUUAUGUAAUAAGCUGUUAUUUUAAAUUUCAUAAAAACUUCAGAUCAAUGCUACUGUUUUAUUUUCUCCUAAUUUAUUUCAUAAGUACAAUAUUUCCUUUUUCUUGUUUUGAUUAUCUUAUUUCUAUUGUAUAUAUUGGGUGUAUAUCAGUAUUUGUAUGCUCGUUGAUAACUAUGUAAUUCUCGAUUCAAGUUAAUUAAAAAACUGAAAGUAGAUAAGUAUAUAUACACCCUCAAAUAUUUUAUUGGUUUCAGUAUGUAACCCAUAAAAUUGAAACAUUUAUAUUUCAAACAACAAUAAGAGAACAAAUGUUUUGGGCAGAUAAUAAUUUAAAUAUAUAAUGGCCCAUUUUAAAAAACUGUUACUCUUUCUUUAAGUAAGGAAAACAAAAUUUUGUAUGGCUAAAAACAGAAUCGGUGACUUAGAAAAUAAACGGUGGAGAUGAGUGGAGAGAGUUAUCUCAAAAUGAUUUUUUAUCUUUUUUGUCUUUUUGUCUGAUUUUGCCCUUUGUUUCUUCUGACAGCCAUACAUAAAAAUUAGGGCAAAUAGAUAUUGUUGUCCUAGUGUGAUUCUAGAGCUCAUGUGCCGUCAUGGAGGCACAAGAGAAUCAAGUCCCCAAGAUGAAUCCCCUAAGCAUCUCCGAAAGGUCUAUACCAAUUGAUCUCCUCAUCUCAGUAUUCUCGAGAUUGCCCGUGAAAUCCAUCGGAAGGUGCCGUUGCGUCUCCAAGCAAUGGUCUUACAUUCUCCGCCGUCGAGAUUUCACCGACUUGUACCUGAAAACAUCAUCGACUCGUCCCUGUCUCUUGUUCAACCUCAAAGUCAACGGUAAGUGUCUCUUCCUCUCCGCACCUCAGGACCAGAUCAGCUCGUCUGUUUUAGUUGCCGAUCGUCGCAUGAGUUUCCCCACUGAAGAUGCUUCUUGUGGUGUUUCACGUCCUGUCUGCGGAUUGGUCUGUAGUUUGGAUAUGAAUCCAUCGAUCUGUAACACAAGCACUGGGCAGUGCAUCACUUUACCCAAGAUGAAGAUUGCAUCAGGAGGAGGUACUGUGAAUGUCUACUUUGGAUAUGAGCCGGUCCGUAAACUGUUCAAGGUAUUGCGCAAGUCCAAGGACGACUAUCGAGUUAUGACAUUAGGAAGGGGAGAACUGUCGUGGAGAAUAGUUGAAAGUUCCGUAGCCCAUUCGUCUUUAUCUAAUGGAAUAUGCAUCAAUGGGUUUAUGUACUAUAUAGCUGUGCGCAAUGACCCUAGAUGUCUUAAACCUAUUAUGCUAGUUUGUUUUGAUAUGUCGUUAGAGAAGUUCACCUUUCUUGAUGUGGACAUUAUGCUUUGGAGGUCAACUCUUAUAGAUGUCAAAGGUAAGUUAGCUGCCGUUCUCCCUUAUGAGACUAUCUUUUUCAGUGA